This 497-nucleotide ribosomal RNA is filed under the name uncultured bacterium. Its description in RNAcentral is "partial 16S ribosomal RNA". It matches the Rfam family "Bacterial small subunit ribosomal RNA", at positions 28 to 507 of the family's 1533-position model. The record is from RNAcentral.
GAUGAACGCUGGCGGCGUGCCUAAUACAUGCAAGUCGAGCGAACAGACGAGGAGCUUGCUCCUCUGAUGUUAGCGGCGGACGGGUGAGUAACACGUGGAUAACCUACCUAUAAGACUGGGAUAAUUUCGGGAAACCGGAGCUAAUACCGGAUAACAUGUUGAACCGCAUGGUGCAAUAGUGAAAGACGGUCUUGCUGUCACUUAUAGAUGGAUCCGCGCCGCUUUAGCUAGUUGGUAAGGUAACGGCUUACCAAGGCAACGAGGCGUAGCCGACCGGUGGGGGGGAUCGGCCACAUGGGAGCGGGACCACGGUCAAGGCUCCUACGGGAGGCAGCAGUAGGGAAUCUUACGCAGUGGGCGGAAACCUUACAGAACAGCGCCGCGUGAGUGGAGAAAGCCCUCGGAGCGGAAAACUCUGUUUUGAGGUGAAAACAAAUGUGUAAGUAACUAUGCACGUCUUCACGGUACCUAAUCAGAAAGCCACGGCUAACUACGUG